This 673-nucleotide long non-coding RNA is filed under the name Homo sapiens (human). RNAcentral describes it as "HSALNT0246023". The record is from RNAcentral. Lineage: Eukaryota; Metazoa; Chordata; Mammalia; Primates; Hominidae.
CACAAACAGACCUUGGUGUCCUGGAUCAGCUUCAGAGACACUGGGACCGCUUUGGGGCUGCCCUGAAGGCUCCAGAGGGUGGAGGGGAAGGGCAUGGUGCUUUUGCUAACACUCUCACGUCCCCUGGGAGCAGGUGGGUGGCCACCCUGAGGCCACUGCACGGGGGAAGGGACAGAGAGAGGUGGGGUGGGGGAGGCGGAGGGGAAGCUGCAACCAGCUCCCGUGGGGCAGGGGGUCGGCGGGGGUUUGUCCCUGCUGUGGGCACCUGGAGCGACACCUGUGGGGGCAGCUCCUCAUCUGACCUGCACUAACACUAAUCUUUAGUCAGCUCCAGGGACUCACCCACCCUGAAAGACCCCAUCCUCAACCCUAUCAAUAGCUCUAGUUGCAUUUCCGGCAAAAUCUGCAAGAGCUCGGUUCUUUGUCUAACCCUCCAGGGAAACAAACAGUUCACCUCCCCUGGAAUGUCCUCAUCCCCUUCCCGGGGUCCCAACACCCUCCCCAGCCCCCACCCUACUCCAUCUCAGGCUGGCUGCCUCUGACCCUAAAAGUCCAAUUCUGUUUGUCUGCCGGGUUGGGGCACUCAUCUGUGGCCCAGCCAGGCAGAAAGACAGAGAACCGGGGGAAACUCCCGUCUACAUGAAUCAUGGGGCAGAACCUGGGGAUUUAUCCA